UGGGGAAUAUUGCACAAUGGGCGAAAGCCUGAUGCAGCCAUGCCGUGUGUGUGAAGAAGGCCUUAGGGUUGUAAAGCACUUUCAGCGAGGAGGAAAGGUUGUUAGUUAAUACCUGACAGCUGUGACGUUACUCGCAGAAGAAGCACCGGCUAACUCCGUGCCAGCAGCCGCGGUAAUACGGAGGGUGCGAGCGUUAAUCGGAAUUACUGGGCGUAAAGCGUGCGUAGGCGGCUACUUAAGUUGGAUGUGAAAGCCCCGGGCUCAACCUGGGAACUGCAUCCAAAACUGAGUGGCUAGAGUGCGAGAGAGGAGUGUGGAAUUUCCUGUGUAGCGGUGAAAUGCGUAGAUAUAGGAAGGAACACCAGUGGCGAAGGCGACACUCUGGCUUGACACUGACGCUGAGGUACGAAAGCGUGGGGAGCAAACAGGAUUAGAUACCCUGGUAGUCCACGCCGUAAACGAUGUCUACUAGUUGUCCGUUGUCUUGUACGAUGGGUAACGCAGCUAACGCGAUAAGUAGACCGCCUGGGGAGUACGGCCGCAAGGUUAAAACUCAAAUGAAUUGACGGGGGCCCGCACAAGCGGUGGAGCAUGUGGUUUUAUUCGAAGCAACGCGAAGAACCUUACCUGGCCUUGACAUCCUGCGAACUUUCUAGAGAUAGAUUGGUGCCUUCGGGAGCGCAGAGACAGGUGCUGCAUGGCUGUCGUCAGCUCGUG
RNAcentral lists this ribosomal RNA (717 nucleotides) under uncultured bacterium. Its description in RNAcentral is "bacterial SSU rRNA". It matches the Rfam family "Bacterial small subunit ribosomal RNA", at positions 355 to 1064 of the family's 1533-position model. The record is from RNAcentral.